GCCUAACACAUGCAAGUCGAACGAGGUCCAUCCUUCGGGAGAAGACCUAGUGGCGAACGGGUGAGUAACACGUGAGGAACCUGCCCCGGAGACCGGGAUAACCCUCCGAAAGGAGAGCUAAUACCGGAUACCCCCACCGAACCGCAUGGUUUGGUGAGGAAAUGGAUUCCGCUUCGGGAGGGCCUCGCGGCCUAUCAGCUAGUUGGUGGGGUAACGGCCCACCAAGGGCAUCGACGGGUAGCUGGUCUGAGAGGACGAUCAGCCACACUGGGACUGAGACACGGCCCAGACUCCUACGGGAGGCAGCAGUGGGGAAUCUUGCGCAAUGGGCGAAAGCCUGACGCAGCAACGCCGCGUGGGGAUGAAGGCUCUCGGGUUGUAAACCCCUUUCAGCAGGGACGAAUCAAGACGGUACCUGCAGAAGAAGCCCCGGCUAACUACGUG
Molecule: ribosomal RNA, 444 nt
Filed under: uncultured bacterium
Lineage: Bacteria
Description: bacterial SSU rRNA
Rfam family: Bacterial small subunit ribosomal RNA
Source: RNAcentral